Molecule: long non-coding RNA, 510 nt
Organism: Fundulus heteroclitus (mummichog)
Lineage: Eukaryota; Metazoa; Chordata; Actinopteri; Cyprinodontiformes; Fundulidae
Exons: 4
Source: RefSeq, a predicted model, not a curated record
AUGAGCAUGGAAGUGUUUCAUAGCAGUAAUUUUUUUAAACUAAACUAAUUUGAACAAAUUUUUCUUGGGAAUUUGAGAGACCUAUUUUGAGAGGGGCGUAGGUUAAAGGCUGUUUUCUUUUGGCUGAACAGUGGAGGUCUGUGCCAAUGCCUGUCUGUUGCUCUGAUGUUUUUACCACAGAGUAUGAUCUGGGCAAAAGGGGAGGAGAUUUAUGGGUACUGGGAAGGAGGUUUGGUAGUUUGUCUGCUGUAUAAAGCUGUUGCUGCAUUUGUUUUGCAGUUUGAGCUUGGGUACAAGGUUCAAGCCACAGGCAGGUCAAAAUGAAGAGUGUGCUCGGCUAUUGUGCUCUCAUAUUCACACUUCUUUUGAGCUGCUCAGUCCAGGCUGCGAAAAAGCAGAAAACUGUUUCUUCUCAAGGUACAGACUGCACACAAAUUAAGACUCAGUCUCCAGAUGCCCUCAGUGGAGUUUAUGUAAUCCAGCCUGCAGGAGCCAACAAUCACUUCAAGG